Molecule: ribosomal RNA, 378 nt
Filed under: uncultured eukaryote
Lineage: Eukaryota
Description: partial 18S ribosomal RNA
Rfam family: Eukaryotic small subunit ribosomal RNA
Source: RNAcentral
CAAUAGCGUAUAUUAAAGUUGUUGCAGUUAAAAAGCUCGUAGUUGGAUUUCGGGACGGGCCAGUUGGUCCGCCGCAAGGUGUGUUACUGACUGGUCUGUUCUUCUUCGCAAAGACUGCGUGUGCUCUUCGUUGAGUGUGCGUAGGAUUUACGACGUUUACUUUGAAAAAAUUAGAGUGUUCAAAGCAGGCUAUCGCUUGAAUACAUGAGCAUGGAAUAAUGGAAUAGGACUUUGGUCCUAUUUUGUUGGUUUCUAGGACCGAAGUAAUGAUUAAGAGGGACAAUUGGGGGCAUCCGUAUUUCGUUGUCAGAGGUGGAAUUCUUGGAUUUACGAAAGACGAACAACUGCGAAAGCACUUGCCAAGAGUGUUUUCAUUAA